RNAcentral lists this ribosomal RNA (440 nucleotides) under uncultured bacterium. RNAcentral describes it as "partial 16S ribosomal RNA". It matches the Rfam family "Bacterial small subunit ribosomal RNA", at positions 338 to 795 of the family's 1533-position model. The record is from RNAcentral.
CCUACGGGUGGCUGCAGUGGGGAAUAUUGCACAAUGGGGGAAACCCUGAUGCAGCGACGCCGCGUGAGUGAAGAAGUAAUUCGUUAUGUAAAGCUCUAUUAGCAGGGAAGAAAAUGACGGUACCUGAGUACGAAGCCCCGGCUAACUACGUGCCAGCAGCCGGGGCAACACGGAGGGGGCAAGCGUUAUCCGGAUUUACUGGGGGUAAAGGGAGCGUAGUCGGCAGUGCAAGUCUGGAGUGAAAGGCGGGGGCUCAACCCCCGGACUGCUCUGUAAACUGUACGGCUGGAGUGCAGGAGAGGUAAGUGGAAUUCGUGGUGUAGCGGUGAAAUGCGUAGAUAUUAGGAAGAACACCAGUGGCGAAGGCGGCUUACUGGACUGUAACUGACGUUGAGGCUCGAAAGCGUGGGGAGCAAACAGGAUUAGAUACCCCAGUAGUC